RNAcentral lists this ribosomal RNA (471 nucleotides) under uncultured bacterium. RNAcentral describes it as "partial 16S ribosomal RNA". It matches the Rfam family "Bacterial small subunit ribosomal RNA", at positions 28 to 507 of the family's 1533-position model. The record is from RNAcentral.
GACGAACGCUGGCGGCGUGCUUAACACAUGCAAGUCGAACGAUGAAGCCUAGCUUGCUAGGUGGAUUAGUGGCGAACGGGUGAGUAAUACGUGAGUAACCUACCUUUAACUCUGGGAUAAGCCCGGGAAACUGGGUCUAAUACCGGAUACGACCAAUCUCCGCAUGGGGUGUUGGUGGAAAGCGUUAUGUAGUGGUUAUAGAUGGGCUCACGGCCUAUCAGCUUGUUGGUGAGGUAACGGCUCACCAAGGCGACGACGGGUAGCCGGCCUGAGAGGGUGACCGGCCACACUGGGACUAAGACACGGCCCAGACUCCUACGGGAGGCAGCAGUGGGGAAUAUUGCACAAUGGGCGCAAGCCUGAUGCAGCGACGCCGCGUGAGGGAUGACGGCCUUCGGGUUGUAAACCUCUGUUAGCAGGGAAGAAGAGAGAUUGACGGUACCUGCAGAGAAAGCGCCGGCUAACUACGUG